Austrofundulus limnaeus is the source of this 953-nucleotide long non-coding RNA. RefSeq lists it as uncharacterized. NCBI's taxonomy places the organism in Eukaryota, Metazoa, Chordata, Actinopteri, Cyprinodontiformes, Rivulidae. The transcript is spliced from 3 exons. The record is from RefSeq and is a predicted model, not a curated record.
UUAGGAUUUAUUUAAAUUUUGUUCAACUAUGUUUCGAAAAGGCAAGAAAAAAAAUUUGGACAAAAAGAUAAUUAUUCCUUUCAAACAAGCAUGAGACUGAGAAAAGUGUCGUAACAAAGUUGUAUCAGUGAUUUGUAGGCAGGUCCUCCAUAAUAUUACAGGACAUGUAUAGAUUAUUUGUUGGAGCUGUAAAUCCAUAAUCCAUUAUCAAAAUAUAUCAAUUUGUUUGGAUGAUGAAAUAUUUCUCAAUAUCACAUAGUCUGUCAUGAUACAGUUAUUAUUCUAUUCAAUUUACAAGUCUGCUGUUAACAUGAUAUAUUGAUCCACAUGAUGAUGAUAUGAUCCAUAUUGUUGUUUGUCUUGAUAUAAAUCAAUCAUUACUCAUUAAUCAUCUGUGUGUAUCGAUGUAUCAUUGGUUUUGUUAUUAAAAGGAAACCCCACUGAGGCAUUUGUGAUGUUAUCACCCCCUGCCUCUCAGAUCAGGCACUGCGCUAAUUGUUUACACCUGCACUGAGUUGGCUCAUCACCUCCCCUGGGCUUUAUAAGGAAGUGCUGGAGUGCAUCUCGUCGCUGAAGCAUCGCCUCUGUUUGGAAGCGACCGCCAGUACUUUAAACCCAGCCUUGGAAACCGAGCCAACCUCACCUGGAUCUCAUGCGCUGCCUCCAACGAAUCAUUGUAAAUAACUCUGCACUUGUAAAUACUCACCUGUGGAACUUCACCUGUUGGACCUCCUCCUCCAAGUGUCCUCUCCUUCAUCAACCUGUCCCGUCCCCAGAUCCCAGCACCAUWGUAAAUAAAUCACUUAUCUUUUGUAUUUAUCUGUCUCAGUCUCUGUUUUAUCAGUUGUAUUUUGCUCACGUUGAUAUUCCACCUGUAAACCUGAUACCCACAAAGGUCACUGAAAUAACUUUGUUUUUUAACAUAUUACUGUUGAACCAAAAUCUAAAAGCAA